RNAcentral lists this ribosomal RNA (591 nucleotides) under uncultured beta proteobacterium. Its description in RNAcentral is "bacterial SSU rRNA". It matches the Rfam family "Bacterial small subunit ribosomal RNA", at positions 334 to 918 of the family's 1533-position model. The record is from RNAcentral. Lineage: Bacteria; Pseudomonadati; Pseudomonadota; Betaproteobacteria.
GGGGCCUACGGGAGGCAGCAGUGGGGAAUUUUGGACAAUGGGCGAAAGCCUGAUCCAGCAAUGCCGCGUGUGCGAAGAGGGCCUUCGGGUUGUAAAGCACUUUUGUCAGGAAAGAAAUUGUUCGGGCCAAUACCCCGAGCCGUUGACGGUACCUGAAGAAUAAGCACCGGCUAACUACGUGCCAGCAGCCGCGGUAAUACGUAGGGUGCGAGCGUUAAUCGGAAUUACUGGGCGUAAAGCGUGCGCAGGCGGUUUGUUAAGACAGCUGUGAAAUCCCCGGGCUCAACCUGGGAACUGCAAUUGUGACUGGCAGGCUAGAGUUUGGCAGAGGGGGGUGGAAUUCCUGGUGUAGCAGUGAAAUGCGUAGAUAUCAGGAGGAACACCGAUGGCGAAGGCAGCCCCCUGGGCCAUGACUGACGCUCAUGCACGAAAGCGUGGGGAGCAAACAGGAUUAGAUACCCUGGUAGUCCACGCCCUAAACGAUGUCUACUAGUUGUUGGGUCUUCAUUGACUUAGUAACGAAGCUAACGCGUGAAGUAGACCGCCUGGGGAGUACGGCCGCAAGGUUAAAACUCAAAGGAAUUGACGGGG